AAGUCGGUCCCUAUGGUCAGAUUUGGACUGAUUUUAUCCAUUUCUCUGUUACUCUUCCCACGUGAUGUGCACGCGACCCUUUUAAGAAGAGCAAAAUCGCCACUUCACCCUUCCUCCCUCCCCCCUUCCCCCCCACCCCCCCAAAAAAAAAAUAGCCCUAAUGCCCCAAUUUUGUUACCCAGACUAGUGAUGGUGCUGAGAUGAGGCGCGAGACAUUGACCUCAAGUGAUGGAAGAGCUGUGUUGGGGAGAUGCUGUAAAUGUCUAAAAGAGGCAUUAAUAAGGACAUCGUGGACAGAUUUAAACUCUAGAAGAAGAGAGGUCGACGGUGUGAUUUGUAGAAGUGGGCAGACCCAGAAAUGUGCGAUCUUUCGAAUAAGAUCAUUCCCAGGCUGUUAAGGCGUAUUAGAACCAUGGAGGAGGAACUUCAGUUGCAGAGAGCUAAAGUAAUGAAGAUUAGGUUUUGGUUUGGGCCUUUUUGUGUUAUUGAAACCAAAUUCAUGGAUGGGAAACAUCUGAAAUUGGAAUUAAUGUGAUGAAAGGGUUUGAUGGCAUGUAUUUUGUGGUUUUGGGUUUUGGGUAAUAUGUGUUAGCAGUGUUGUUGGGUUUUUGUAUCUGUUUUUUGACGCCAUUUUCUGUAUAUAUAUAUUUGGCUAGCUCUGAAUGAAGUGGUGCAAUUCGUA
Molecule: long non-coding RNA, 682 nt
Organism: Prunus persica (peach)
Lineage: Eukaryota; Viridiplantae; Streptophyta; Magnoliopsida; Rosales; Rosaceae
Exons: 2
Source: RefSeq, a predicted model, not a curated record